RNAcentral lists this ribosomal RNA (473 nucleotides) under uncultured bacterium. RNAcentral's name for it is "bacterial SSU rRNA". It matches the Rfam family "Bacterial small subunit ribosomal RNA", at positions 107 to 598 of the family's 1533-position model. The record is from RNAcentral.
UGAGUAACGCGUGGGCAACCUACCCUUUAGCCCGGGAUAACUUCCGGAAACGGGAGCUAAUCCCGGAUGCGGAGCAAGGGACGCAUGUUCGUUGCUCGAAAGCUACGGCGCUAAAGGAUGGGCCCGCGUCCCAUUAGCUAGUUGGUGAGGUAACGGCUCACCAAGGCGACGAUGGGUAGCCGGCCUGAGAGGGUGGACGGCCACACUGGGACUGAGACACGGCCCAGACUCCUACGGGAGGCAGCAGUAGGGAAUCUUGCGCAAUGGGCGAAAGCCUGACGCAGCGACGCCGCGUGAGGGAAGAAGGCCUUCGGGUCGUAAACCUCUGUCCUUGGGGACGAUGAUGACGGUACCCAAGGAGGAAGCCCCGGCUAACUACGUGCCAGCAGCCGCGGUAAUACGUAGGGGGCGAGCGUUGUCCGGAAUUACUGGGCGUAAAGGGUGCGUAGGCGGCAAGGUAAGUCCUGUGUGAA